AUGACGUCAAGUCCUCAUGGCCCUUACGGGCUGGGCUACACACGUGCUACAAUGGCGGUGACAUUGGGACGCUAAGGAGCAAUCCUUCGCAAAUCUCAAAAAGCCGUCUCAGUUCGGAUUGGGCUCUGCAACUCGAGCCCAUGAAGUUGGAAUCGCUAGUAAUCGUGAAUCAGCAUGCCACGGUGAAUACGUUUCCCGGGGCUUGUACACACCGCCCGUCACACCAUGGGAGUUGGUUUUACUUGAAGGCGGGUCGCUAACCCGCAAGGAAGGCAGCCGACCACGGUAGGUUCAGCGACUGGGGGUAAGUCGUACAAGUU
RNAcentral lists this ribosomal RNA (320 nucleotides) under alpha proteobacterium BAC156P. RNAcentral's name for it is "bacterial SSU rRNA". It matches the Rfam family "Bacterial small subunit ribosomal RNA", at positions 1179 to 1497 of the family's 1533-position model. The record is from RNAcentral. Lineage: Bacteria; Pseudomonadati; Pseudomonadota; Alphaproteobacteria.